ACGGAGGACCCGAGCGUUAUCCGGAUUUAUUGGGUUUAAAGGGUGCGUAGGCGGAUUGGUAAGUUAGAGGUGAAAGCUCAGCGCUUAACGUUGAAACUGCCUCUGAUACUGUCGGUCUAGAGUAUAGUUGCGGAAGGCGGAAUGUGUGGUGUAGCGGUGAAAUGCUUAGAUAUCACACAGAACACCGAUUGCGAAGGCAGCUUUCCAAGCUAUCACUGACGCUGAGGCACGAAAGCGUGGGGAGCGAACAG
This 251-nucleotide ribosomal RNA is filed under the name uncultured bacterium. RNAcentral describes it as "partial 16S ribosomal RNA". It matches the Rfam family "Bacterial small subunit ribosomal RNA", at positions 525 to 775 of the family's 1533-position model. The record is from RNAcentral.